Molecule: non-coding RNA, 115 nt
Organism: Triticum aestivum (bread wheat)
Lineage: Eukaryota; Viridiplantae; Streptophyta; Magnoliopsida; Poales; Poaceae
Source: Rfam
AUUCUACUCCCUCCGUUCGGAAUUAUUUGUCAUAAAAAUGGAUGUGUCUAGAUUUAUUUUAGUUCUAGAUACAUCCAUUUUCGAGACAAGUAAUUCCGAACGGAGGGAGUAUAAU